Molecule: transfer RNA, 74 nt
Filed under: Propionispira arboris
Lineage: Bacteria; Bacillati; Bacillota; Negativicutes; Selenomonadales; Selenomonadaceae
Description: tRNA_Gly_TCC
Rfam family: tRNA
About the family: Transfer RNA (tRNA) molecules are approximately 80 nucleotides in length. Their secondary structure includes four short double-helical elements and three loops (D, anti-codon, and T loops).
Source: RNAcentral
GCGGGUGUAGCUCAAUGGUAGAGCUCCAGCCUUCCAAGCUGAUCACGUGAGUUCGAUUCUCAUCACCCGCUCCA